GCGGGUUGUGCACUUGUGGUGGCCUCUACUGCUUUGCAAAGCCAUUGCCGAGGGGUUUCACCCGACCACACACAAGGUUGGUCCGUUACCGCGGAAUAGACCUCCAGUGAUAGCACCUACCGUAGGACCUCCCACUACUCUCACCACACACGUCAAUCCUCUCUAAGUGAGAAUGAAAGACCGUUAGAGUGUUAGGGAUAACCCCCC
RNAcentral lists this long non-coding RNA (207 nucleotides) under Vigna radiata. RNAcentral describes it as "long non-coding RNA (VRAD_LNC018470)". The record is from RNAcentral. Lineage: Eukaryota; Viridiplantae; Streptophyta; Magnoliopsida; Fabales; Fabaceae.